This 1305-nucleotide ribosomal RNA is filed under the name Escherichia coli. RNAcentral describes it as "partial 23S ribosomal RNA". It matches the Rfam family "Bacterial large subunit ribosomal RNA", at positions 220 to 1569 of the family's 2925-position model. The record is from RNAcentral. Lineage: Bacteria; Pseudomonadati; Pseudomonadota; Gammaproteobacteria; Enterobacterales; Enterobacteriaceae.
AGAAAUCAACCGAGAUUCCCCCAGUAGCGGCGAGCGAACGGGGAGGAGCCCAGAGCCUGAAUCAGUGUGUGUGUUAGUGGAAGCGUCUGGAAAGGCGUGCGAUACAGGGUGACAGCCCCGUACACAAAAAUGCACAUAUUGUGAGCUCGAUGAGUAGGGCGGGACACGUGGUAUCCUGUCUGAAUAUGGGGGGACCAUCCUCCAAGGCUAAAUACUCCUGACUGACCGAUAGUGAACCAGUACCGUGAGGGAAAGGCGAAAAGAACCCCGGCGAGGGGAGUGAAAAAGAACCUGAAACCGUGUACGUACAAGCAGUGGGAGCCUCUUAAUGGGGUGACUGCGUACCUUUUGUAUAAUGGGUCAGCGACUUAUAUUCUGUAGCAAGGUUAACCGAAUAGGGGAGCCGAAGGGAAACCGAGUCUUAACUGGGCGUUAAGUUGCAGGGUAUAGACCCGAAACCCGGUGAUCUAGCCAUGGGCAGGUUGAAGGUUGGGUAACACUAACUGGAGGACCGAACCGACUAAUGUUGAAAAAUUAGCGGAUGACUUGUGGCUGGGGGUGAAAGGCCAAUCAAACCGGGAGAUAGCUGGUUCUCCCCGAAAGCUAUUUAGGUAGCGCCUCGUGAAUUCAUCUCCGGGGGUAGAGCACUGUUUCGGCAAGGGGGUCAUCCCGACUUACCAACCCGAUGCAAACUGCGAAUACCGGAGAAUGUUAUCACGGGAGACACACGGCGGGUGCUAACGUCCGUCGUGAAGAGGGAAACAACCCAGACCGCCAGCUAAGGUCCCAAAGUCAUGGUUAAGUGGGAAACGAUGUGGGAAGGCCCAGACAGCCAGGAUGUUGGCUUAGAAGCAGCCAUCAUUUAAAGAAAGCGUAAUAGCUCACUGGUCGAGUCGGCCUGCGCGGAAGAUGUAACGGGGCUAAACCAUGCACCGAAGCUGCGGCAGCGACACUAUGUGUUGUUGGGUAGGGGAGCGUUCUGUAAGCCUGUGAAGGUGGCCUGUGAGGGUUGCUGGAGGUAUCAGAAGUGCGAAUGCUGACAUAAGUAACGAUAAAGCGGGUGAAAAGCCCGCUCGCCGGAAGACCAAGGGUUCCUGUCCAACGUUAAUCGGGGCAGGGUGAGUCGACCCCUAAGGCGAGGCCGAAAGGCGUAGUCGAUGGGAAACAGGUUAAUAUUCCUGUACUUGGUGUUACUGCGAAGGGGGGACGGAGAAGGCUAUGUUGGCCGGGCGACGGUUGUCCCGGUUUAAGCGUGUAGGCUGGUUUUCCAGGCAAAUCCGGAAAACCAAGGCUGAGGCGUGAUGA